RNAcentral lists this unclassified non-coding RNA (329 nucleotides) under soil metagenome. RNAcentral's name for it is "partial contains 5.8S ribosomal RNA, internal transcribed spacer 2, and large subunit ribosomal RNA". The stretch from base 1 to 120 matches the Rfam family "5.8S ribosomal RNA", at positions 35 to 154 of the family's 154-position model. The record is from RNAcentral.
GAUGAAGAACGUAGCGAAAUGCGAUAAGUAAUGUGAAUUGCAGAAUUCAGUGAAUCAUCGAAUCUUUGAACGCACAUUGCGCCCCCUGGUAUUCCGGGGGGCAUGCCUCUCCGAGCGUCAUUACAACCCUCAAGCUCAGCUUGGUGUUGGGCCCCGCCGCCCCGGCGGGCCCUAAAGUCAGUGGCGGUGCCGUCCGGCUCCGAGCGUAGUAAUUCUUCUCGCUCUGGAGGUCCGGUCGUGUGCUCGCCAGCAACCCCCAAUUUUUUUCAGGUUGACCUCGGAUCAGGUAGGGAUACCCGCUGAACUUAAGCAUAUCAAUAAGCGGAGGA